RNAcentral lists this ribosomal RNA (1437 nucleotides) under uncultured organism. Its description in RNAcentral is "SSU rRNA". It matches the Rfam family "Bacterial small subunit ribosomal RNA". The record is from RNAcentral.
GCUAUUCGACAGGCUUAACACAUGCAAGUCGAGGGGCAGCACAGGUAGCAAUACCGGGUGGCGACCGGCGCACGGGUGAGUAACGCGUAUGCAACUUACCUAUCAGAGGGGGAUAACCCGGCGAAAGUCGGACUAAUACCGCAUGAAGCAGGGGCCCGCAUGGGGAUAUUUGCUAAAGAUUCAUCGCUGAUAGAUAGGCAUGCGUUCCAUUAGGCAGUUGGCGGGGUAACGGCCCACCAAACCGACGAUGGAUAGGGGUUCUGAGAGGAAGGUCCCCCACAUUGGUACUGAGACACGGACCAAACUCCUACGGGAGGCAGCAGUGAGGAAUAUUGGUCAAUGGCCGAGAGGCUGAACCAGCCAAGUCGCGUGAGGGAUGAAGGUUCUAUGGAUCGUAAACCUCUUUUAUAAGGGAAUAAAGUGCGGGACGUGUCCCGUUUUGUAUGUACCUUAUGAAUAAGGAUCGGCUAACUCCGUGCCAGCAGCCGCGGUAAUACGGAGGAUCCGAGCGUUAUCCGGAUUUAUUGGGUUUAAAGGGUGCGUAGGCGGCCUUUUAAGUCAGCGGUGAAAGUCUGUGGCUCAACCAUAGAAUUGCCGUUGAAACUGGGGGGCUUGAGUAUGUUUGAGGCAGGCGGAAUGCGUGGUGUAGCGGUGAAAUGCAUAGAUAUCACGCAGAACCCCGAUUGCGAAGGCAGCCUGCCAAGCCAUUACUGACGCUGAUGCACGAAAGCGUGGGGAUCAAACAGGAUUAGAUACCCUGGUAGUCCACGCAGUAAACGAUGAUCACUAGCUGUUUGCGAUACACUGUAAGCGGCACAGCGAAAGCGUUAAGUGAUCCACCUGGGGAGUACGCCGGCAACGGUGAAACUCAAAGGAAUUGACGGGGGCCCGCACAAGCGGAGGAACAUGUGGUUUAAUUCGAUGAUACGCGAGGAACCUUACCCGGGUUUGAACGCAUUCGGACCGAGGUGGAAACACCUUUUCUAGCAAUAGCCGUUUGCGAGGUGCUGCAUGGUUGUCGUCAGCUCGUGCCGUGAGGUGUCGGCUUAAGUGCCAUAACGAGCGCAACCCUUGCCACUAGUUACUAACAGGUAAAGCUGAGGACUCUGGUGGGACUGCCAGCGUAAGCUGCGAGGAAGGCGGGGAUGACGUCAAAUCAGCACGGCCCUUACAUCCGGGGCGACACACGUGUUACAAUGGCGUGGACAAAGGGAAGCCACCUGGCGACAGGGAGCGAAUCCCCAAACCACGUCUCAGUUCGGAUCGGAGUCUGCAACCCGACUCCGUGAAGCUGGAUUCGCUAGUAAUCGCGCAUCAGCCAUGGCGCGGUGAAUACGUUCCCGGGCCUUGUACACACCGCCCGUCAAGCCAUGGGAGCCGGGGGUACCUGAAGUCCGUAACCGCGAGGAUCGGCCUAGGGUAAAACUGGUGACUGGG